RNAcentral lists this ribosomal RNA (497 nucleotides) under uncultured bacterium. RNAcentral's name for it is "partial 16S ribosomal RNA". It matches the Rfam family "Bacterial small subunit ribosomal RNA", at positions 28 to 507 of the family's 1533-position model. The record is from RNAcentral.
GAUGAACGCUGGCGGCGUGCCUAAUACAUGCAAGUCGAGCGAACAGACGAGUACCUUGCUCCUCUGACGUUACCGGCGGACGUGUGAGUAACACAUAGUUACCCUACCUAUAAGACUGGGAUAACUUCGGAAAACCGGAGCCACUAACUGAUAAUAUAUUCAACCGCAUGGUUCAAUAGUGACAGACGGUAUUGCUGUCACUUAUAGAUGGAUCCGCGCCGCAAUAGCUAGUUGGUAAGGUAACGGAUUACCAAGGCAACGAUGCGUAGCCGACCUGCCAGGGUGAGCGGCCACACUAGAAUUGAGACACGGUCCAGACUCCUAUGAGAGGCAUCACUAGGGCAUCUUACGGACUGGGCGAAAGGCUGGCCGGGCAUCGCCGAGUGAGUGAUAAGGGUCUGCGGAUCGUAAAUCUCUGCUAUUAGGGAAGAACAAAUGUCUAAGAAACGAUGCACUUCCUGACGGUACCUAAUCAGAAAGCCACGGCUAACUACGUG